Molecule: ribosomal RNA, 404 nt
Filed under: uncultured bacterium
Lineage: Bacteria
Description: bacterial SSU rRNA
Rfam family: Bacterial small subunit ribosomal RNA
Source: RNAcentral
AACGAACGCUGGCGGCGUGCCUAACACAUGCAAGUCGUGCGAGAAAGUUCCUUCGGGAGCGAGUAAAGCGGCGCACGGGUGAGUAACACGUAGGUAACCUGCCCCCCAGUCUGGAACAACUAGAGGAAACUCUAGCUAAUGCCGGAUGAGACCACGAUCCCUUCGGGGGUUGCGGCCAAAGAUGGCCUCUACUUGUAAGCUAUCGCUGAGGGGUGGGCCCGCGGGCCAUUAGCUUGUUGGUGAGGUAACGGCUCACCAAGGCUGUGAUGGCUAGCUGGUCUGAGAGGAUGACCAGCCACACUGGGACUGAGACACGGCCCAGACUCCUACGGGAGGCGGCAGUGGGGAAUAUUGCGCAAUGGGCGAAAGCCUGACGCAGCGACGCCGCGUGGGUGAUGAAGGCC